Molecule: non-coding RNA, 1004 nt
Organism: Macaca mulatta (Rhesus monkey)
Lineage: Eukaryota; Metazoa; Chordata; Mammalia; Primates; Cercopithecidae
Source: RefSeq, a predicted model, not a curated record
GCUGAAUCCAGUCUUAGACUUGAUGUGGAGCAGAGACUGGUCACGGCAGGCUUUCUGGAGUUGAGCCAGGUGAAGAAUAAGAGAAGAAGGAGAAAAGAUAGGCGGGAGCUCUUCCUUGACGUGAAACAGGGGCUGAGGAGACAUGAGAGAGAGAAGCACCACAGACUGACAUCAACCUGAGGCCUUCUGAUGCUAAGAACAUCACAACUUCCCUGGUGGGCAACUGGGUUCAUCUGUCCACUGUCUGCCAUGAUCGGCAGAUAUCAACAAACCACUUGCAAAGUCCAAAGAACAAAUAUGCCAGCAGUUGCCGAUAUGCCCGUGCUCCACAGAUCCAAUAUAGGCCAGAGGGUGCCUUUCAAGAAGCUGGAGCCUCUAGCUGAUGCCAAGAGUGGCUUAGAGUAGAGAACCAAGAGAAAGGUUUGGAUCUGGAGGAAAGGAAUGGCAGCAGUUUUCCAGGCUAGCUGGCUUCACAACCCGAUGGCUCUCUUCUGUUCCGCUGCCACAGACACAGACUGUCUGCCUCCUGAGAAUUUGAAAUUUGGCCAACCUGCCCCCUCUGCUUCUCUGAACCAAACUGGGGCCAGGAGGACUUCUGACCCAAGUGCUGAUCACCCCUCUUCCUACAGCGCACCGUGCACCCUCUGCUCAGGAAAUGCCUUUGGUGUGUUGCUGACGUCUGUGCCUGCUGCAUCUCUCACCGCCCUGCACUUCACCCUAUCCCACACAGGUUUCGCCUGAUCUCAGCUGCUUUGGGCAGACCAUCCAGUGCUGCAAGGUUCUGAUGAUCAUGGAGUAGCAAAACAGCAUGAUCCCGAAGGGGAUCACCAAUCCGAGAAUGUUGAUUUCCAGGGAGCUGAUAACCUUCCAGGUCGUGGAGUUGAGCGAGUACUUGGUUUUGCAGCUCCUCAAGGCAGGUCUGGGCCCAACCUGAAGAAGCUAAUGAGGGGAAGAGCAAAGGAGAUUUUUGUGAGAACAAAAAUAAACCAAAGUGUUGCUAAAUG